This is a non-coding RNA of Heterocephalus glaber (naked mole-rat), 3952 nucleotides long. The record is from RefSeq and is a predicted model, not a curated record. Lineage: Eukaryota; Metazoa; Chordata; Mammalia; Rodentia; Bathyergidae.
CUAGAAACUGUUGGCCUCAGAGAUGUAUAAAACAUGUUUGUCUCCCCCUAGUUGGGACUCAAGUCCGAUGCUUGGCUCGGGUCCCAGCCGGAGAGACCAGGAUCGGACACCCUCUGGACACUGGUCUGUGGAAGGAGAGGCCACCCUGGUGGUAUUCCAGGGCUAGGCCACCCUGAUGGCAUUCCAGGGCUCCAGGUAGGCCGGUUCCAGUUGGGCCCUAUCGUCAAUCAACCAACCUGAAGGAGUUUAUCGGGAAAGCCUCUAGAGGUAAGAAUCGAAUGAUUCUUAGUGCACUGUGGGUAGGUAAGAGGAAACCAGACACGGCACAGGUUCCCUUACCUAGAGUCUCUUCGCAAUGGCAAGCAGACUCACUGGGUCGGAGUCCUCAGAAGAGUGACUCCCUGGGUAGGGUCUGAAUCCACUCAGCCCCAGAGGUUUACUUGGCCAAAGUUUGUUUUUGUCUGUUUAUUGUUGUCUGUCUGUCUGCUUGCUUUGUGUGCCUUUUGCAUUUUCACGGGCUAAAAUUAUGGGUUCCUCACAGUCCACGGAAGGAACUCCACUUGAUUGUAUCUUGAAUAACUUCAAAAAAAAAUAUUCUACAGACAGAGAAGAUGAAUAUGGCAUAAAUUUUCUAAAGGCAAAUUGCAAAUUCUGUGUCAAUCAGAAUGGCCAAGUUUCGGAGUCAGUUGGCCCCUGGUGGGAACUUAUUCUGUGCACAUUGCUCACAAGGGUUGGAAUGUGGUCACAGGAGUCAGGGCCCUAUGGCAUCCCAAUCAAUUCCCAUAUAUUGACAUUUGGAUCGAUAUGUUGGAAGAUCCCCCUAAAUAUUUUAUACAAUGUACAGGUCCCAAUCAACCUUUGGCAACUCUGAAUUGGAGGAGAAGGGGAAAUCAAAACCUACUGGAAAAGAGCCCCUCUCUGAUGGUUGUGUCAACCAGUAAAGGUGUUCUCCAGUCUGACCCUGAGGAUGAUUUACACCGACCUCCCCCUAACCACGUGGGUGGAACUGGCACCUGGGGGAGGGGCCCUGAAUCUCCUGCUGCAGGCCCUCUGGUUCCGGACUCCUCCUCAGACCAGAUCCGCUCACCUCCCCAUACUCAAUCAGGACAGGACUAUGGUCCAUCAGCCCCAUCUUCCUCCUCCCUUUUUCCUUUAAAACAAACAGAGCCUGGGGGAGGAUUGAUUUAUGUCCCUUUUAUAACUAGUGAUCUUUACAAUUGGAAACAUCGAAAUCCCCCCUUCUCUGAAAAACCUCAGGCAUUAAUCUCUUUUUUUGAGUCUGUUUUCCAUACCCAUCAGCCAACUUGGGAUGAUUGCCAGAAGCUUUUACAGAUCCUGUUCAGCACUGAGGAGUGGGAUGCAUUUAUCAACAGUCAGUCAAAGAGGCCCUGGGGCCAAACCCCGGUGUCACUCGUGGAACUCUGGGGUAUUCAGCCAGGGCUGAAACAGUGGUUCCAUUGCAAUGCCCCAAAUGGGACCCCAAUGAUGAUGAUGGUAGGAGGAGGCUGGGGACCUACCACCAGCACUUAUUAGGGGGACUCUGGACAGCUGCCAGAAAGCCCACUAAUGUGAGUAAGGUAAGUGAGGUUUGCCAGGGAAAAAUGGAGUCUCUGGGUGUGUUUUUGGAGAGACUCUUGGAAGCCUAUAGAGUUUUCACUCCUAUCGACCCAGAGGCUCCCGAAAAUGCAGCAGCUUUAAAUCUGGCCUUUGUUUCCCAGUCGGACCCAGACAUUAGAAAGAAAUUACAGAAAUUGGAGGGAUUUGAGGGAAAGACUAGCAUCAAACUCCUGAACAUAGCCCAGAAAAUUUAUGAUAACUAUGAUGCCCCCAAGGAAAUCCUAGCCAAAAAACUGGGGAAAGUCACUAUUGCUGCACUCUAGGCACAAGAGACAGUCCCUCUGGACAGAAAAGGAGAAAGUGCCUUUUUGGCUUUAAAGAAAGCCUUAGUGUCAGCACCAGCCCUGGCCCUAUCUGAUGUCACCAAGCCCUUUUGGUUAUUUGUGGCUGAAUGAGGGGGCAUAGCCAAAGGAGUGCUAGCUCAAGCUUUAGGGCCUUGGAGCAGACCUGUGGCCUACCUGUCUAAAAGACUUGAUCCUGUGGCAAGUGGAUUGUCUACCUGUUUGAGGGCAGUUGCACCCACCGCCUUCCUGGUCAAAGAGGCAAAAAAGCUCAGCCUGGGACAGGACCUGGUCAUCACCACACCCCCUGUGGUGGAGAUGUUGCUGAGAGGAGCCCCAGAAUGAUGGCUUUCCAACGUCCACCUGACUCAGUACCAGGCCCUGUUGCUGGAUGCUCCACACAUCAAAUUCACCCAAGAAAUGGCCCUUAAUCCAGCCACCACCUUACUCCCAGACUCUGACCACACAUACCCCUCCAUGACUGUCUGGACACUGACAAUUUCCACCACCAACUGCCCAGACCUGACUGAUGUUCCCCUGCAAAGCCCAGAUGAGACCUUCUUCACUGAUGGAAACAGCUUCGUGGAAGACAGAGUCAGGACUGACCUCUAUGGUCCAGGACAUCAGUUCCAGGUGUCAAGUGUGUGCACAGGUAAACUCCAAGCCUUACAGAUUCUUCAGAGUGAGAUCCAGGCUACAAUACAACAGGCUCAAGAAAAACCCUUUGUGAUGUUCCAGCCCCACGGUUUCAAGCCAGGAGACCUGGUCCUGAUAUGCUUGGUUUGCUUGCACUGAGGACUUGUCUAAAUACAUUCCCAAAUCAGUCUUGGCUACCCAAUCUGCCACUUUGUUUUGUGUCACCAUGUAUGUUGUUCCACAAGUCUUGUAUUAUAAUAAAAAGGGGGGUCACAAACAUCUGGGAUUAACCACUGAACACUAUAGGAGUAAACGGGCUGCUCCCGUUUUAGUGCCCAUUCUGAUAGGAUUAGGAAUAGCCGGUCAGCGGCUAUUGGAACUUCCUCCCUGAUCCUUCAGGACACAAAUUUUAAAGCCCUAAGCCACCAAGCAGCAAGAGAUUUGGGUCACCUGGAAGACUCAAUCUCCAGAUUAGAGAACCAGGUUGAUUCCCUAGCUGAGAUGUUCCUACAAAAUCGAAGGGGACUUGACCUCCUGUUCAUGAAACAGUGAGGGUUAUGUGUAGCCCUAGGAGAAACCUGUUGCUUCUAUACUAAUCAGUCUGGUGUCAUUAGAGAUAACUUAGCUAUGGUCAGGGAAAUUUUAAAGACUAAAUAUGCUCAACAAAAGGAUCCAAGUUGGUUUCAAAAUCUAUUUGACUGGUCCCCAUGGUUAACUACCCUAGUUUCUGCUGUAGCAGGCCCCUUAGUUAUCUUACUUCUGCUUUUGCUUGUGGGACCUUGUAUUAUAAAUUCUCUGACUAAAUAUGUUAGACAGAGGGUUGAUGCAGUUAAACUGAUGGUGUUGAGACAAAAUUAUGAGAUUUUAGAAGAUGUUUUAGAGGAAGAAUCUGAAGAAUAAAUACAGAAAUCAAAGAUUUGAUUAAGUUACAAGAACCAGUGGGGAAUGAAGGACCCUAGUUAGCAAGACAGACUCUAUAUUGCUGCUGAAUGACCCACCUACCUGCCCUUUAGACAAACUCAAAAGGAGGAAGCUUAGAAACCUCCUCCCCUUAGAGAGUCUCUUAGAAACAACAAUCAACUAUUGUUUUACAAAUGUUCUAACAGCAGAAUGUUCUGCUUCUGUACCUUUUGCUUGCUUUGCUAGUUCUAUCCCAUGGGGGGCUAGAAACUGUUGUCCUUAAAGGUGUAUAAAAUGUGUUAGUCUCCCCCCAGUUGGGGCUAGAGUCCAAUGCUCAGCUUGGGUCCCAGCCGAUAAUGAACUCCUGUGUGGAUUUAAUAUCAGUUUCUGGUUGGUUCUCUCUCGCUGGGUGUAACAUUCUCUCCAUCAAUUUUGAAAGAUAGUUUUGCAGUGUACAUCAAUCUGGAUUGGAGGCUGUUUUCCUUUAGGGCUUGAAAUACAUCACUCCAAGCUCUUCU